Pseudoliparis swirei is the source of this 317-nucleotide long non-coding RNA. RefSeq lists it as uncharacterized. The record is from RefSeq and is a predicted model, not a curated record. The transcript has 3 exons. Lineage: Eukaryota; Metazoa; Chordata; Actinopteri; Perciformes; Liparidae.
CAUCAACAACAUCUGUUUCCUCGGCACCAUCUACACCAAUAACUACACCUGAAGACACAACCCGGGUACCAGGUGUCUCAACCACGAGUGUAGCUCUGAGGAUGAGACUGUUGUCCUCCACCCCGCUGUCUGAGGACCACAUCAGGACCUCCGUCAUGCAGCAGAUCAGAGAUGAACUGGUGAGACGAGGGCUGUCAGUCACGACUCUACGCCUCAUCAGUGUGUCGUCAGCGUCCACAGCACAGCGCCCCCUGGUGGUUUAACGUGCACUGACAUGGAACCCUGCAUAGUAUAAAAAAGAAAAGAUUAUUUUUUAG